GUACUGAUCAGUAUGAUAAAUCUUAUAUUGAGCAAUAUAUAGCAGAUAUUUGCAUGUCAGUUGUUUAGGAAGAAAAUAAUUGUUAUUGAUAUUUUUCAUUAUUAAUUUAAUUAAAAUAUUUUUAUUAAAUUGAAAUGCGCAUAUCAAGUCAUAUUUUUUUUAAAACCCUAUGAACAAUGAUACAAUUGGAUGAUUAUAGUAAUUUCUAUUUUCUCUAAAAAAGCAUUUAAAUACUUGAUUGGGCAAAUAAGUUCAACAAGAAGAUUGUUGCCACC
This 275-nucleotide long non-coding RNA is filed under the name Elaeis guineensis (African oil palm). Its description in RNAcentral is "long non-coding RNA (EGUI_LNC011364)". Lineage: Eukaryota; Viridiplantae; Streptophyta; Magnoliopsida; Arecales; Arecaceae. The record is from RNAcentral.